UACGUAGGUGGCAAGCGUUGUCCGGAAUUAUUUGGCGUAAAGCGCGCGCAGGCGGCCUCUUAAGUCUGAUGUGAAAGCCCCCGGCUCAACCGGGGAGGGCCAUUGGAAACUGGGAGGCUUGAGUAUAGGAGAGAAGAGUGGAAUUCCACGUGUAGCGGUGAAAUGCGUAGAGAUGAUGGAGGAACACCAGUGGCGAAGGCGACUUUUUGGCCUAUAACUGACGCUGAGGCGCGAAAGCGUGGGGAGCAACAGG
RNAcentral lists this ribosomal RNA (253 nucleotides) under uncultured bacterium. RNAcentral describes it as "partial 16S ribosomal RNA". It matches the Rfam family "Bacterial small subunit ribosomal RNA", at positions 524 to 775 of the family's 1533-position model. The record is from RNAcentral.